This 210-nucleotide long non-coding RNA is filed under the name Lathyrus oleraceus (garden pea). Its description in RNAcentral is "Pisum sativum (pea) long non-coding RNA (PSAT_LNC038762)". The record is from RNAcentral. Lineage: Eukaryota; Viridiplantae; Streptophyta; Magnoliopsida; Fabales; Fabaceae.
GAUCGUCAUCCUUUGAAACUGAUGAAUUCACUUUAAUUGGAGUUACAUCAUUGUUAAAAUUAGGUUCAUUCUCUCCACAUGCAGACAUUGAAUGCUACAUAAAAUAUAAACAGAUAAUCAGCAAUAUAAAUAAGGAUAAAUGUAAAAAAAAAAAAAAAAGCAAACAUAUCAUACGAAGAUGCCAAUGGUUUAUACUUAUGGUAGAUAAAU